AGUGACGCGGUAGAGGAGCGUUCUGUAAGCCUGUGAAGGUGAGUUGAGAAGCUUGCUGGAGGUAUCAGAAGUGCGAAUGCUGACAUGAGUAACGACAAUGGGUGUGAAAAACACCCACGCCGAAAGACCAAGGGUUCCUGCGCAACGUUAAUCGACGCAGGGUUAGUCGGUUCCUAAGGCGAGGCUGAAAAGCGUAGUCGAUGGGAAACAGGUUAAUAUUCCUGUACUUCUGGUUACUGCGAUGGAGGGACGGAGAAGGCUAGGCCAGCUUGGCGUUGGUUGUCCAAGUUUAAGGUGGUAGGCUGAAAUCUUAGGUAAAUCCGGGGUUUCAAGGCCGAGAGCUGAUGACGAGUCGUCUUUUAGAUGACGAAGUGGUUGAUGCCAUGCUUCCAAGAAAAGCUUCUAAGCUUCAGGUAACCAGGAACCGUACCCCAAACCGACACAGGUGGUCGGGUAGAGAAUACCAAGGCGCUUGAGAGAACUCGGGUGAAGGAACUAGGCAAAAUGGCACCGUAACUUCGGGAGAAGGUGCGCCGGCUAGGGUGAAGGAUUUACUCCGUAAGCUCUGGCUGGUCGAAGAUACCAGGCCGCUGCGACUGUUUAUUAAAAACACAGCACUCUGCAAACACGAAAGUGGACGUAUAGGGUGUGACGCCUGCCCGGUGCCGGAAGGUUAAUUGAUGGGGUUAGCGCAAGCGAAGCUCUUGAUCGAAGCCCCGGUAAACGGCGGCCGUAACUAUAACGGUCCUAAGGUAGCGAAAUUCCUUGUCGGGUAAGUUCCGACCUGCACGAAUGGCGUAACGAUGGCGGCGCUGUCUCCACCCGAGACUCAGUGAAAUUGAAAUCGCUGUGAAGAUGCAGUGUAUCCGCGGCUAGACGGAAAGACCCCGUGAACCUUUACUGUAGCUUUGCACUGGACUUUGAGCCUGCUUGUGUAGGAUAGGUGGGAGGCUUUGAAGCGUGGACGCCAGUUCGCGUGGAGCCAUCCUUGAAAUACCACCCUGGCAUGCUUGAGGUUCUAACUCUGGUCCG
Molecule: ribosomal RNA, 1032 nt
Filed under: Pseudomonas aeruginosa
Lineage: Bacteria; Pseudomonadati; Pseudomonadota; Gammaproteobacteria; Pseudomonadales; Pseudomonadaceae
Description: bacterial LSU rRNA
Rfam family: Bacterial large subunit ribosomal RNA
Source: RNAcentral